This 75-nucleotide antisense RNA is filed under the name Lentzea jiangxiensis. RNAcentral's name for it is "ASpks TB sRNA". It matches the Rfam family "ASpks TB sRNA". Lineage: Bacteria; Bacillati; Actinomycetota; Actinomycetes; Pseudonocardiales; Pseudonocardiaceae. The record is from RNAcentral.
CUUCACCGACCCCAGCCACAACGGCCUAUCCCGAUCCCGGCCCUGGCCGUACGUCGCCAGCAACGCCUGCGCCUC